This 250-nucleotide ribosomal RNA is filed under the name uncultured Campylobacter sp. Its description in RNAcentral is "partial 16S ribosomal RNA". It matches the Rfam family "Bacterial small subunit ribosomal RNA", at positions 86 to 339 of the family's 1533-position model. The record is from RNAcentral. Lineage: Bacteria; Pseudomonadati; Campylobacterota; Epsilonproteobacteria; Campylobacterales; Campylobacteraceae.
UUAAUCUUAGUGGCGCACGGGUGAGUAAUAUAUAGCUAAUCUGCCCUACACUAGAGGACAACAGUUGGAAACGACUGCUAAUACUCUAUACUCCUUCUUUACACAAGUUAAGUCGGGAAAGUUUUUCGGUGUAGGAUGAGGCUAUAUCGUAUCAGCUAGUUGGUAGGGUAACGGCCUACCAAGGCUAUGACGCGUAACUGGUCUGAGAGGAUGAUCAGUCACACUGGAACUGAGACACGGUCCAGACUCC